UCGCUUAGGUGGCACAUAUACUAAAAUCGGAAUGCUGUAAAGAAGAUUAACAUGAACCCUGCUCAUGGAUGACAUGCAAAUUUGUGAAACAUUCCGUAUUUUU
Small nuclear RNA from Hemiscyllium ocellatum (epaulette shark), 103 nucleotides. Lineage: Eukaryota; Metazoa; Chordata; Chondrichthyes; Orectolobiformes; Hemiscylliidae. The record is from RefSeq and is a predicted model, not a curated record.